This 6388-nucleotide long non-coding RNA is filed under the name Homo sapiens (human). RNAcentral's name for it is "HSALNT0408925". The record is from RNAcentral. Lineage: Eukaryota; Metazoa; Chordata; Mammalia; Primates; Hominidae.
AGGAAAAGGAUGCGCUGGGUCGCUGAACCACCGGCUUGUGGUAGGUCUCUCGGCGGGCAGUUAAAGGCUGGGAUAGGCUCCCCUAGCUCCUAGUUGUGGGGCCUGCGUUAGCAGAGGACUUGGCGAGCGCUGAGUCCGGUCUCAGAGAAGUGAUAAAGCUAUGUGACAUUUUAGAUACAUGGACAACAGAAAGACGGAAUUGGACAAAGAAUGAAAAUGCAGGGAAGAAAUAAAUCAGCAAACAAAACACUGAACGUGAAAUUGGAAAGUGGUUGUAAUGGGAAGGAUGAAGAUGUCCCAAAGGAAGUAACACUGGCAACAACUUUCACAUUAAAGAAACUUUUGGGGAAAUUUUACAAAUUUAAAUACAAAGGGUAAAACACUGGAAGCGAUCCAUACUUAGAAAGGAAUAUGACAAUUCACUAAAGCAAAGCAAGAUGCUUACUUCAUAUCAUAAAUUACAUGAUUUAUGUGCUAAGAAGCUGUUGUGAUUUUCAAGAAUCUCGAGGAAGCUCCCAAUAGCUAUCUCAUUCUGCCACAACAAAGCAGAUAUCUCUUAAGUGCUUACUAAGAAGCCCAUGUGACUUUCACAUCUGCCUAUGCACCUGUCUGCAACUACCCCAGAGUAUAAUAGACUGUUCUCUUCCACCUUUUAAAUCUCAUUCAUGCAAGUGCCUCCUACUGGAAAACUGUAAUCCAGAAUCAUUUCGGGGAGAGGAUUCUGGGAAACUGUUCACUGGCUUCCCUUCUGUGAUACAAAAAGAGGAUCUUAAAGCAGCUUGGUCGUUGUGGUAGGCAGAAAAAUUGCCUUCCAGAGAUGUUCGAUCCCUGCAACCUGUGAAUAUAUUACUUUAUAUGCGAACAGAAACUUCAGAGAUGGUAUUAAGUUUACUUUAAAAAUAGAGAAAACAUCCUGGAUUAUUCACAUGAUCCUAGUGUGAUCACAUGUGUCCUUAUUAAAACUGGAAGAGGGAGACAGAAGACUGAGUCAGAGAGAUGCAAGAAAAUUCAAAGUGUGAGAGGGACUCCUACCCACCAUUGCUGGUGUGAAAGAUAGAGAAAAGGGGCCAGAAGCCAAGGCAUGGAGGCAGCAUCUACAAGCUAGAUAUCACCUUCAUCUGACAGCCUCAAAGGAAACAGGAAUGCUAGUGCUACAAUUGCAACAACCUGAAUGUACAAUAAAGCAAUUCUCGACCGGGCACAGUGGCUCAUGCUUGUAAUCCCGGCACUUUGGGAGGUCGAAGCAGGCGGAUCACCUGAGGUUGGGAGUUCGAGACCAGCCUGGCCAACAUGGAGAAACCCAUCUCUACUAAAAAUACAAAAUUAGCUGGGCGUGGUGGUGCACACCUGUAAACCCAGCUACUCGGGAGCCUGAGGCAGGAGAAUUGCUUGAACCCGGGAGGCAGAGAUUGUGGUGAGCCAAAAUCUUGCCGUUGCAUUCCACCCUGGGCAACAAGAGCAAAACUUCAUCUCAAAACAAAAAAAAAACAAAACAAAACAAAACAAAAAAACCAAUUCUCACUUAGAGCCUUUAGAAAGGAACAGAGCUCUACUGACUCCUUCAUUUCUGCUUGGUGAGAAAUUCAUCUGACUUUUGCCCUAGAGAACUGAAGGUUAAUCAAUUUAUGUUGUUCAAGCCACUGAGUUUGUAGUAAUUUGCUACUGCAGCAAUGGGAAACUAAUACAAUGGUCAUGCUGAGUUCAUAACAGGCCUCUAGAAAUAACGAGGACAUAAGUGGAAACUCAGUCAAAAAGUCUAGCAGUAAGGAUUGAACCCAUUGAAAUGUAGGGCUACAAUUAAAAUAAAUGUAGAGAUUAUGAGUACAAAUUUUAAAAAUAUAAAUUCUGUAAAUUCUGAUAAUAUAGAAAUUAAGUAAUUAAGGAAGAGAAGAACUAGAGGAAAAUGGCUAGCUUUUUCUAUGGUAGUAAGUUCAUCUUUCAUAACUGAGAUCAAACCAUCAUUGUAACUAGAUAAAAUAAUAUAAAAACUCAGAUACUUUUAAUGAUAAAGAUAAACAUUGGAGAAAUAAAAUAAUUAACCAAAAUUUGGGUAGUAGAGAAGUAGAAGGGAAAGGUGGAGAAAGUGGAAAUAUACUAAUUCUACCAUUGUUCAUUAUAAGCAAAGAAUACUAUCUAAAGAAGAGAGGAUUAAAUGUGUUUUUUAUAAUUAAAGCAAAACUAGCAGAUUAAAAAUAUAACCCUUCCCAAGCUUCAGAAGAAAUACACAAAAAAGUAAAGAAAAUAUAUUAAAGACUUUUAAAACAGAAAACAUAAUGUGAAAUAACUUGACAAACUAAGCCCGUAAGUGCCUACCAUUUAAAUAAAAUCAGCUAAAGUCACUUUUUAAAGGAUAUGUUUUCAGAUCUCAUUACAUAGCAAAACCCCUGUACUUAAAAAUGACUCAGAAACACUAACAUUAAAUGAUGGAGAGAGUUAAACCAUGCAAAUGCAAACAAAAAUAAAUCAGGGUUCAUACUUUUAAAAUUGGACAUGUUGAAUUUAUCGCAAAAAGCAUUAUAAUAGAAAAAAUAGUGAAACACUUUGUUGGUUUUUUUUCUUCAACUUUUAUUUUAAGUUCCUGGGGUACAUGUGCAGGAUAUGCAGGUUUGUUACAUAGGUAAAUGUGUGUCAUGGUGGUUUGCUGUGCAGAUCAAACCGUCACCUAGGUGUUAAACUCUGCAUGGAUUAGCUAUCCUUCCUGAUGCUCUCCCUCCCCGUACCCUCCUGACAGCCCUCAGUGUGUGUUGUUCCCCAGCCAUGUGUCCAUGUGUUAUCAUUUAGCUCCCACUUUCCCACUUAUAAGUGAGAACGUGUGGUGUUUGGUUUUCUGUUCUUUCAUUAGUUUGCUGAGGAUAAUAGCUUCCAGCUCCAUCCAUGUCCCUGCAAAGGACAUGAACUCAUUCCUUUUUAUGGCUGCAUAGUAUUCCGUGGUAUAUAUGUACCACAUUUUCUUUAUCCAGUCUAUCAUUGAUGGGCAUUUGGGUUGAUUUCAUGUCUUUGCUAUUAUGAAUAGUGCUGCAAUGAACAUACACAUGCAUGUAUCUUUAUAAUAGAAUGAUUUAUAUUCCUUUGGUUUUAUACCCAGUAAUGGGAUUGCUGGGUCAAAUGGUAUUUCUGCUUCUAGAUCUUUAGAGAAUCUCCACACUGUCUUCCACGGUAGUUGAACUAAUUUACAUCCCCACCAACAGUGUAAAAGCCUUCUGUUUUCCUUGCAACCUCGCCAGCAUCUGUUGUUUCUUGACUUUUUAAUAAUUGCCAUUCUGACUGGCAUAAGAUGAUAUUUCAUUGUGGUUUUGAUUUGCAUUUCUCUAAUGAUCAGUGAUGUUGAGCUUUUUUUCAUGUUGUUGACUGCAUGAAUGUCUUCUUUUGAGAAGUUUCUGUUCGUGUCCUUGGCCCACUUUUUAAUGUUUUUUUUUUCUCGUAAAUUUGUUUAAGCUUAGUGGAACACUUUGUAAUGAUAAAGGUUGCAAUUCCCAUCAGAGAUCCAACAAUUAUGAAAAUCCAUGUGCUAAAUAAUAUAGCAUUAAUUUUCAUAAGGCAAGCAUUUCAAGAGUAAAAAGAGAAGAAUAAAAUCAUAUUAGUAGUGAAGGGUUUUAAUACGUCUCUCUCAGUCCAUAAUAGAUCCCAGAGGACAAAAAAUCCCCACAUAGAUCUCAAUCUCCUAAUUAGUAAAGUAUAUAUAAUUGACAAAUAUUGAACCAACCAUAUUAAUGUCAGGAAAAGGACUAAAUUUAAGGUUCUCAGAUUCCCAGUAUGCUGUUUUCUUGCCCCUGAAACUGUGAUUUUCGUCUAUAUUAAAUUAUAUGCAAAAGAAUGAUGUCGGACUUAUACCUCAGGCCAUACACGAAUAACUUGAAAUAAAACAAAGGCCCUACAGCAAUAGCUAAAACUACAAAACUCUUAAGAGAAAACAUAGGUUUUAGUCUUCAUGACUUUGGAUUUGGCAAUGGCUUCUUAGAUGUGACACCAAACACACAAGUGACAAAAAAAGUAGAAACACCGGACCUCAUAAAACUUAAAAGCUUUAGUGCCUCAAAAGCCACUAUCAAUAAAAUGAAUGGACAUCCCAGAGAAUGAGAUAAACUAUUUUCAAACUGUAUAUCACAUAAGUGACUAAUAUGUAAAAUAUGUAAAGAACUCCUCCAGCUCAGCAUGAAAAAGAGAAAACACCCAAAUAAAAAGUGUGCAAAGGUCUUGAAUAGACAUUUUUCCAAAGUAGGUAUACAGUUGAUCAAUAAGCACAUGAAAAAAAUAUUCAAGAUCGUUAAUCAUCAGGAAAAUGCAAAUCAAAACCACAAUGAGAUACUACUGCAUACCAAUUGGUAUGGCUAUAAUAUUAAUUUUAAAAAACAAUAAAAAGCGUUGCUGAGAAUGUGGAGAAAUUGGAACCCUCAAUCAUUGCUGGUGGGAAUGUAAAAUGGUGCAGCUGCUAAAAAAAGCCUGGCAUUGUUCUCAAAUGGUUAACCAUAGAGUUACCAUUUCAUCCAGCAAUUCUAUUUCUGGGUAUAUACUUGUGAGAAAUGAAGACGUAUGUCCACCCAGAAACAUGAACAUGAUUAUUUAUAGUAUCAUUAUUUAUAACAGCAAAAUUGAAUCAACUCAAAUGUCCAUCCACUGAUUCAAUACAUAAAAUGAGAUGCAUCCAUGCAAAUAAAUAUGAUUCUGCAAUGCAAAAGAUGAAGUAUUGAUACAUACUACAAUAUGGAUGAACCUUAAACAAAAUGCUAAGUGCAAGAAGCCAGUCGCAAAGGAACACACGAUUCCAUUUACGUUAAAUCUCUGGAAUAAGCAAAUUCACAGAUACAAAAAUAGAGUAGAAAUUGCUUAGCACUGGGGAAUGGAGGAAAUGGGCAUGACCGCUAAAGGGCUAAAGGGAAUGGAGUGCCUUUUUGGGUGAAAAUGUUCUAAAAUUGGUUGCGGCAAUAAUUUUACAACCUUGCGAAUAUACUAAAAGUGUGCUAGAUUAUACACUUUUAAAUGGCAAAUUGCAUGGCAUGUAAGUAAUCACAAUCAAUAUCAUACACACACACGUACACAUAUGUUUACACUGAGAAACAGCACCCAUGUUUACCCAGAGAAGAUUAGUGUAGGGUUUUGCAGUGUGACAGUCCAUGCACGUUGUCACUGAUCUGCUGCCUCACCUUUUUGAUGUAGGUAUUAGAGACAGACUUGUAACUCCUUCAGCUCCUGCGGUAUCUUCAGCUUCAUCUUCUCUGACUGUUGGGCCAGGUGUGUGUUUAGCUUCCCGAUGAAGGACAUUGACUUCUCUUGCACUUCAUCUGCAUCAUCCAAGUUGAAGGUUUAGAGGUCGCGGGAAACUGAUGUGGAUUUCUGCUUAUCUUUGGGAAUUCUGGUUAUCCCUUUUCUCCACCAUUUUGCAGGCAUCUUUCCUUCCUUACUGCCUGUCCUGCUGUCUUCAGAGUAAACACAAGACUCAGAAGUAAUGGGAAAAUAUAGAUUUCUUUACCACUUCCUACAAUAGCAUAUAAUCAAAUAAUGCCUAUAAUAAAUGCUUUAUUCUAUAUUACUUGUAGUGGUUCUGUUGCAAUUGUGAUACAUGUCUGGUUUCAUAAUGUUUCCAGAUAGUCUCUUACAUCUUAUCAGCCUGAACAAUAUUAUUGCCUGCAUAGAUUCCCCACAUGGCAAAUCUACAUGCAGUUGUCCCAGAAAAUAAAAGCUGUCCCAGACAGCCUUUCCAACUUUUAUCUUCUGACAAUAUUAUCUCACAACAACAGAUUACACCUUAGCUACUCCCUUAAAUCACAUUUUGCCCCUCCCAUCUUCUUCACAUCAGUGUUAUGCUUUAUUGUGCUCGGUGAUAUAAUUUGGAAUUUGUAGCUAUAGACAACAUUUCUGUCUUUGCCAAGCAGUUAAUUAAGGUGUUACUAUAACCUCACUGCAAAUGUAAUCUAAAGGAUUAAAGUAUGACUCAAACUUACCUAUCUCAAGAUAGUCAGAUAAGCUAUAUUUUGGGAAACUAACAUUGAAUGAGCUUCUACAUUAUGCUUAUCACAUCCUCUCAUUUACUACUAAAAACCUUGCAUGAUUAAUAUAGUUUUGCCUAUUUCACAAAUGAAAAAACUGAGGCACAGAGAUGUUACUAUGAAAACAAUGACUCUAAUGUACGUAACUGUGAAUGGACUUGAUUUGGUUUCUUCCUGUAGAAAGCAUGUCAAUGGGCUCUCCCAUAUACUUUUUCGAUUUCUCUCCCCUGCUCAUCACACAUUUUAACUCUGUCCCUGACUAUACAUUGGCCUUAUUCUCAUCAGCUGCAGAUGUGGUUUUCCCACAAGACUGUGGAGUUUCUGGCAACAACUAGGCUUCAUAUGUUCCCAGUUGAACAACUCCAAUAGAAAAAUAACUUUCUUCUGAAAGUCUUCCAGGGGAG